Molecule: non-coding RNA, 94 nt
Organism: Mycena rebaudengoi
Lineage: Eukaryota; Fungi; Basidiomycota; Agaricomycetes; Agaricales; Mycenaceae
Source: the annotation of a GenBank genome assembly
GACUCAGUGGUGUAACGGUAACAUGCUUGCUUUUUGUGGAGCAUAUGUCAUGUCAUUAAUGCAGGUGAUCCCUGUUCGAAUCAGGGCUGGGUCA